RNAcentral lists this microRNA precursor (63 nucleotides) under Lepisosteus oculatus (spotted gar). Its description in RNAcentral is "Loc-Mir-184_pre stem-loop". It matches the Rfam family "mir-184 microRNA precursor family", at positions 13 to 76 of the family's 86-position model. The record is from RNAcentral. Lineage: Eukaryota; Metazoa; Chordata; Actinopteri; Semionotiformes; Lepisosteidae.
CCUUAUCACUUUUCCAGCCCAGCUAUCUAUUCUGAAUCCGUUGGACGGAGAACUGAUAAGGGC